RNAcentral lists this ribosomal RNA (253 nucleotides) under uncultured bacterium. RNAcentral's name for it is "partial 16S ribosomal RNA". It matches the Rfam family "Bacterial small subunit ribosomal RNA", at positions 524 to 776 of the family's 1533-position model. The record is from RNAcentral.
GACAGAGGGGGCAAGCGUUGCUCGGAAUUACUGGGCGUAAAGGGCGCGUAGGCGGGAUGGCAAGUCGGUCGUGAAAUCCUUCGGCUCAACCGAAGAACGUCGAUCGAUACUGCUGUUCUUGAGGGUUGCAGAGGAGACUGGAAUUCCCGGUGUAGCGGUGAAAUGUGUAGAGAUCCGGAGGAACACCGAAGGCGAAGGCAGUGUCCUGGCGCGUAACUGACGCUGAGGUGCGAAAGCCAGGGGAGCGAACGGG